ACCGCCACGCCUCUUAACAAUGCGCAACCUUGGCGGUU
This is a non-coding RNA of Janthinobacterium sp. Marseille, 38 nucleotides long. Lineage: Bacteria; Pseudomonadati; Pseudomonadota; Betaproteobacteria; Burkholderiales; Oxalobacteraceae. The record is from Rfam.